AGUGAACGCUGGCGGUAGGCCUAACACAUGCAAGUCGAACGGCAGCACAGAGGAGCUUGCUCCUUGGGUGGCGAGUGGCGGACGGGUGAGGAAUACAUCGGAAUCUACUCUGUCGUGGGGGAUAACGUAGGGAAACUUACGCUAAUACCGCAUACGACCUACGGGUGAAAGCAGGGGAUCUUCGGACCUUGCGCGAUUGAAUGAGCCGAUGUCGGAUUAGCUAGUUGGCGGGGUAAAGGCCCACCAAGGCGACGAUCCGUAGCUGGUCUGGGAGGAUGAUCAGCCACGCUGGAACUGAGACACGGUCCAGACUCCUACGGGAGGCAGCAGUGGGAAUAUUGGACAAUGGGCGCAAGCCUGAUCCAGCCAUACCGCGUGGGUGAAGAAGGCCUUCGGGUUGUAAAGCCCUUUUGUUGGGAAAGAAAUCCAUCUGGUUAAUACCCGGGUGGGAUGACGGUACCCAAAGAAUAAGCACCGGCUAACUUCGUGCCAGCCGCCGCCGUAA
Molecule: ribosomal RNA, 505 nt
Filed under: uncultured bacterium
Lineage: Bacteria
Description: partial 16S ribosomal RNA
Rfam family: Bacterial small subunit ribosomal RNA
Source: RNAcentral